RNAcentral lists this ribosomal RNA (734 nucleotides) under Salmonella enterica. RNAcentral describes it as "bacterial SSU rRNA". It matches the Rfam family "Bacterial small subunit ribosomal RNA", at positions 788 to 1522 of the family's 1533-position model. Lineage: Bacteria; Pseudomonadati; Pseudomonadota; Gammaproteobacteria; Enterobacterales; Enterobacteriaceae. The record is from RNAcentral.
UGGUAGUCCACGCCGUAAACGAUGUCUACUUGGAGGUUGUGCCCUUGAGGCGUGGCUUCCGGAGCUAACGCGUUAAGUAGACCGCCUGGGGAGUACGGCCGCAAGGUUAAAACUCAAAUGAAUUGACGGGGGCCCGCACAAGCGGUGGAGCAUGUGGUUUAAUUCGAUGCAACGCGAAGAACCUUACCUGGUCUUGACAUCCACAGAACUUUCCAGAGAUGGAUUGGUGCCUUCGGGAACUGUGAGACAGGUGCUGCAUGGCUGUCGUCAGCUCGUGUUGUGAAAUGUUGGGUUAAGUCCCGCAACGAGCGCAACCCUUAUCCUUUGUUGCCAGCGAUUAGGUCGGGAACUCAAAGGAGACUGCCAGUGAUAAACUGGAGGAAGGUGGGGAUGACGUCAAGUCAUCAUGGCCCUUACGACCAGGGCUACACACGUGCUACAAUGGCGCAUACAAAGAGAAGCGACCUCGCGAGAGCAAGCGGACCUCAUAAAGUGCGUCGUAGUCCGGAUUGGAGUCUGCAACUCGACUCCAUGAAGUCGGAAUCGCUAGUAAUCGUGGAUCAGAAUGCCACGGUGAAUACGUUCCCGGGCCUUGUACACACCGCCCGUCACACCAUGGGAGUGGGUUGCAAAAGAAGUAGGUAGCUUAACCUUCGGGAGGGCGCUUACCACUUUGUGAUUCAUGACUGGGGUGAAGUCGUAACAAGGUAACCGUAGGGGAACCUGCGGUUGGA